CCCUUAGAUGUUCUGGGCCGCACGCGCGCUACACUGAUGCAUUCAGCGAGUCUAAAACCUGGUCUGAUAGGGCUGGGUAAUCUUUUGAAUGUGCAUCGUGAUUGGGAUAGAUGAUUGCAAUUCUUCAUCUUCAACGAGGAAUGCCUAGUAAACGCAAGUCAUCAGCUUGCAUUGAUUACGUCCCUGCCCUUUGUACACACCGCCCGUCGCUCCUACCGAUUGAAUGUUCCGAUGAAUACCAUGGACUGAGAGUAUGAAUGGGUUCGCCUAUUUCUGCUUCUCGGGAAGUGGAGUAAAUCUUAACAUUUAGAGGAAGGAGAAGUCGUAACA
RNAcentral lists this ribosomal RNA (330 nucleotides) under uncultured eukaryote. RNAcentral describes it as "partial 18S ribosomal RNA". It matches the Rfam family "Eukaryotic small subunit ribosomal RNA", at positions 1470 to 1796 of the family's 1831-position model. The record is from RNAcentral.